GUGAACUGCUGUUAUUCAAGAAACAUAUUUCAACAGCAUCUCCCAAACUUCAACCUCUGCUAUAUCAAAUGAGGGCAGGGAACAGCAGUAUCUGCAGCUUCUUCUCCGCAAUCACAAACUGAACUGGCUUGAAAAUGGAUCAUUGUUGCGUCUGUGGACAUAGUACCUAGAACCCUGGAAGGACUGCAGCAGACAAGGGAAGGCAGCUCAAUUCUCAAGGGCAAACAGGGAUAGGGAAUAAAUGCUGUCUUUGACAGCAAUGCUCUCAUGCUCUAAUUAAACAAAAUAGAAACAAUUUAGUCCUUUGUCUGUUUGCUAUUUGCAGGAAUUUACUGCCUUGAAGUUGGUUGCCGUCAUUGCCUAUAGGAUGCCUGUGAUAGAGAUUAAAGAGGAAACAACACAGUGUGGCAAGUCUGAUCACCUGGCUGUACUUCCACUCCAUGAGUAUAGGCAGAGGCUGAAGACUGAGGACCAGAACAGAGGACCAAGAAGGUAUGGACAAGGGAAGCACAGAACUGCUUUGAAUCGGUGGACUGGACUGUAUUCAACAUUUCAUCUUCAAAUCUGGAUGAAAAAACUGCAGAGGUCCCAGCAGUAAUGCUUUCAGAACGCCAUUGAUCACAGACCUCAAAUCAGAAUAAAACUCCUCCAACCUCCACCCUGUGUCUUCUGUUGUAGCGUGGUCGAAAUCACCGGAGAGACAGAGGCACUGCCCGAAAGGUUUCAUAGGAACGCUCUACCUUAGCGGGGGAAAUACGGGACAAGGACGGUCCCGUAUGGGACAAACCAAUUUAGCCCAAUAUACGGGAUGUCCCGGUUAAUACGGGACAGUUGGAAACCCUAAUCACAGCCCACUCUUCACCUCCUCCAAAGAGACAUGUGCACAAAAAAAAUGAAGAUAUCUGCCUGUAGAAGAGCAAGAUGGCUUUGGGAGUUCUCAGCUGUGAUGGAUUCUAAUGUCUAUGAUUCAAAUUUUCAAGGCAAUAGAAAUGUAACUGCAAGAGUUAUUAUUACUGAGUUGGUGCACAAAACCAGCGUGCACUGUAACCACCAGUGACUGUCUUGUUCAUUUCUCUUUCAAUCACAAAACCCUGUUGGACAUUGAUAAUGUAAGAUGCCACAAGCCUGGUUCCCUUGUUUGGUGGUGAAGACAGGUGAUGAGGCAGCAGCGUAGCCUUGGUUGUAGCAAGGACUAGGCCUCAAGCUGGGGGCUGGCAUCCUGCUGCAGUCCAGGUGAGAUGCUGCUGGAGGCAAUAUAACAUGGAGUACGUGCUCGGUUGGCA
Long non-coding RNA from Mobula hypostoma (lesser devil ray), 1283 nucleotides. RefSeq lists it as uncharacterized. The transcript has 4 exons. NCBI's taxonomy places the organism in Eukaryota, Metazoa, Chordata, Chondrichthyes, Myliobatiformes, Myliobatidae. The record is from RefSeq and is a predicted model, not a curated record.